Molecule: non-coding RNA, 30 nt
Filed under: Rattus norvegicus (Norway rat)
Lineage: Eukaryota; Metazoa; Chordata; Mammalia; Rodentia; Muridae
Source: RNAcentral
UACUUUCUCUUGUUAAGGUCCUAUUACAUA